Molecule: long non-coding RNA, 429 nt
Filed under: Mytilus galloprovincialis (Mediterranean mussel)
Lineage: Eukaryota; Metazoa; Mollusca; Bivalvia; Mytilida; Mytilidae
Source: RNAcentral
AAUAGGUCUACUAUAUUUGUUGUAUGGAAUGAUUGUUAAGUGUACAUGUCUAGCGGGCAGAUGUCAUGUGACCUUGACCUCAUUUUCAUGGUUCAGUGGUCAAAGUUAAGUUUUUGAGUUUUGGUAUUUUUAUCUAAUGCUAUAUGCCAUAGGUCAACUAUAUUUGGUAUAUGGAAAUAUUUUAUGAUCUUUAUGUCAGUCGAGCAGGUUUUAUUUAACUGUGACCUCAUUUUCACGGUUCAUUGCACAGUGUUAAGUUUUUGUGUUUUGGUCUAUUUUUCUUAAACUAUAAGUAAUGUGUCAACUAUAUAUGUUGUAUAGAAGCAUUGUUAGCUGUACCUGUCUGCCUGGCAUGGUUCAUCUGACUUGGACCUCUUUUUCAAGGUUCAUUGGUCUUUGUUUAGUUAUCUUGGUUAAUGUUAAGUUUAU